RNAcentral lists this ribosomal RNA (207 nucleotides) under uncultured bacterium. Its description in RNAcentral is "partial 16S ribosomal RNA". It matches the Rfam family "Bacterial small subunit ribosomal RNA", at positions 568 to 774 of the family's 1533-position model. The record is from RNAcentral.
CGCGUAGGCGGUAAUGUAAGUCAGAUGUGAAAUACUCAGGCUUAACCAGAGAACAGCAUCUGAAACUGCAUAACUAGAGUACAGAAGAGGGAAACGGAAUUCCCGGUGUAGAGGUGAAAUUCGUAGAUAUCGGGAGGAACACCAGUGGCGAAGGCGGUUUCCCGGUCUGAUACUGACGCUGAGGCGCGAAAGCGUGGGGAGCAAACA